Molecule: long non-coding RNA, 3366 nt
Organism: Musca domestica (house fly)
Lineage: Eukaryota; Metazoa; Arthropoda; Insecta; Diptera; Muscidae
Exons: 3
Source: RefSeq, a predicted model, not a curated record
AAGUUCUGCAAUAUGAAAAUAAAAUUUAUGUAAUACCACCACACUGACAGACAAUAAGAAUACACAGCACCUUUUACAAAAUCCGAACAGAUGUGUGGAUGUCGAUGCCAAGUCCACUUGAGACAAAAUAUUUCAUAAGGCUACAUCAAGGCAAGGUAGUUACAUUUAUGUAUAACAUAUAUACUAUGGGUAACAAGUUCGGUGACAUGCCUCUGUGAGUCAUGCUUCAUAUUGUAUCAGCGAUUUAAACAUAAUGUUGAAUUUGCAUUAGCCCAAUGACCGGCUGCUGUAGCAGAUAGUCCAGCAAAAUAUCGAGAAACAUGAAAUUAAAUUAAAAAAAAAAAUUUAAGCGUUCGCACACAACCACACAAAGGUGGAAUAAAACAAGUGAACGACCAACAACGUCAACCACUCGAACCAGUUCAACAACAACACCACCACCAUCCAUCUACCAGCCAGCCACCUUUCCGCAAAACACGAAAUAAUGUUCAAACCUUGUUUAUUGUUUGGCGCUGAGCAAAGACAAAAAGUUUCAGAUUAAGCUAACUACAGUGAAUUCGUACGUUCAGAGGAGAAGAGAUUCAUCGGUUGUUAGAGAAUUACAUCUUAAUGUUGAAUGCUGACCAAUUUAAGACAGACUUAAGUGACUACGGCUGGACAGUCUCAAAGCUUUGCGUAGAAAAGAAAGAGGAUUAUAGAAUAGCUUGGAUGAUUUAGAUCUGCGGAUAACAUAUGCAACAUCAAUCUUUAUAAACUGUAGCUGAUAUCACCAGAGGUGGGAAGAUGCGAAACUUUCGCUCCGUCAUGCCUGUUUUGUGAAGCUGAUUUAUUCUUAGCAUUCCUUUGGAUCAGCCAACUGGAUUACAAUUGAGUCUUCGCAUUUGUGAAUUGGAUUCAGCGAAUGCUGAGGGAAUUAAAGAUCGGUCGGUCGUGAUAGCUUUCUUUUUAUGAGGCAAUUAUUGAUAAUCCCUCUCCCUGUGGUACGGACAUAACAUCCGAUGUCCCCUUGGAAAUCGAGGAGAGACUGAAUUAACAUUUCUGUCAUUUAUUUAAGCAUUGCCUUAAUCUGAGCUAAUUUCCCAAUUUUUUUAGUAAUAUGAUAUGUUAGCUCCCAUAUGGCUUUUCACACCCGGAGCUCAUCUGCAGCUAUAGACCAAUUUGAAAUUAUAUUUUUUAUAAUGUUUUGCCAUUUUUUUGGUUAACGCUAGAAGUUAUUUAAGAAAAUUAUCAAAUUGGACUUGUUCUCUGUUGACCGGGAAAUUGAAUUAUCCAUUUCCACACAGCGCUCUCAGGUCUUAGCAUGGUAGAAUUAAAAGGUAGCCCUAUCAGGCCAGAUGUAGGCAACUUGAUAUGUCAAACAAAUUGUUGUAAUAUGAAUUCGCCCUACAGAUACAUAAAAUGAGAGAGUAACCUGAACAAUUAUUAAAAUUGAAAAUGUUGGAAAAAGUUAAAGAACAAAAAUGAAUCACCCAGACAAAAGUCUAUGUCCUUUCAUAAUAUCUUCAUCAGGUCAUAUUUGAACAAUAGAUCUGAUACCUAUCCUACAAAAUAUUUAAUAAUCACUAUUCUCAUAAAAUGUGAUAUUAUUCCCAGUUCUCUUCAAAGUAUUAAUACUAGAUUUAGUGAAAAGUUGAAAUUAUUUAACCUUUAUGAUACGCCCUUGAAAUAAAGUAAAGAUAAAUAAGUGGUCAAAUUCUGAGGAUAUAUUUCUGUCGAAGCUCCGACUGAACUUUUUUUCUUAAAACUUGGACUUUUAUCCUUUAGGACUUCAAGAUAAGCAAUUGGUCUCAUUUCAAAAAUAAUAAUGUUUAGGUCUGAAAUAAAUCAACAAAUCCACUAUUUGAGAUCCGCAAAUAUGCUUUCGAGAUAUAGCCACGUCUGAGACCCGGAAUGUUCUUCAAAUAUCCACGAUUUAAGAGCCGGUAAUUUUCUUUAAAAUUUGAGGAUUUUAUGUGUUGAAUCUACAUUUUUAGAAAUCCACGGCAAAAUUCAUUGUUUGGAGCAGCAGCCUUUGUAAAUUAUCCUCAUUUUGGUGGUUGUUUCAUGGUUUCUUGUCUUAUUUCGAGUCUUCGACUUUUUGUUUGCUUUUCACAAAACUUCCUUGCAAAAUAUAAAUUUUUUAAAUAUAAAUAAAAACACAACAAAAUUAUUCAAUGCUUCGUUCCAUGGUAGAAUUACAAGGUAACCCUUUCAGGCCAGCUGGUAUCAAUUUGAUAUGUCAAAAAAUUGUUGUAAUUUGAAUUCGCCUUCAUUUACACAUAAGAAAAUUGUUGCAUGAUUUCAAACUUUAACAAUGCUAUUGAUAGAAAAUCGAGAUUUUACGUUUUUAUAGAGUAUGAGGGAAAAAGUGUAUAUUCAACAUAUGGUAGGCAUAGGUAAUAUGGAGAUCUAAAAUUCGUGGAUAUUUGAAAUAAGUGAAACAGGGAAUCAAUUUCAUUUAGGAAAUAAACCGAUACAUGGAAUUUCAUCAUCUUAUUUGUACGGAUUUUCAACUAUGUUAUACACUAUAGGGCUUCAACAGUGAAAGGUGAAUGAUUCCAAAGCAUAUUGGAUUGGUUUGGGGAACAAAAUAUUGGCAAUUUUUGGGGUGUGAUUAAAUGUUGAGAUAAUUUUUUUAUUUCAAAUUGUUCGAAUGUAUUAAAGUUAUCUAUGCUUAAAAGACUUCCUGUCUGCUAUACAUUUCAUAGCUGAGCAAAUAAUAUGCCUGGACUCACAGUAGACUCAGCCCCCCUGUAUCUUCUGCAAUCUUUGAUCCAAAUCUUAAGUAAGCCUGAGGAGUAAAUAUACCCUAAAGUACCUUUUAGGUAGCAUGUCACUACAGCGAGAAAGCUGACGAUGUAGCAAAAGAAAAAGGGGUACACCCCAGAACCACCACAAAACCUAAUUUUAAAGCAUCAAAAAUAAUUUUCCGGAUAUUUCCUUUAAAGAACAUUAUCGCUGUUGAAUAUGAAAUCAACGUUGCCAACGUUACCAAGACUGCAUGCUGUGUAAGGAUGAUGAAGAGAUAACAACGAUUGGACAUCUAUUAUCGCAAAUGUCCUUCGUUGGCGCUGGAGACUACAAUCACUCCAUUUCCAGUCUAUGUGAUUUUCAAAAAUGUUGUAUUGAACGUGCUAUAAUCAAACCAAGAUGCAGCGGCUUCAGCAUUACUUUCAAUCGAUGUUGGAAGUUUUGAAUAUUUGCUUUUGUAAUAGAAAAAAACACAAUUUUGAAAAUUUUUAAUUCAAUAUUUUGAUUGGAAAAAUAAUUUGCCCCAAAUUUUGUACUUCAAAUCAAUUCGCCCUGACUACAACUUUGACAUAUCAAGUUUCCAAAAAAAGUUGCUUUGUUGUAAUUUUCGCCUAUGUUGCUACCUGGUAUUUCUAC